AUUAUAUAUACUAGUGAAAGGACCCGCGCUUUGCAGCGGGUAGAAACCGUAACAGUAAUUAAUAAUAAAAAGAUUUUAAACAUUAUCUUAUGUAUCUCACUUGAUACAUUCACCAAAGGUCUCUCACUGUUGGCGGAGGAUAUAGGCCCGACGAUGCCUUCUCCGGCGAUAGUGAUAGUGACGGCGACGAUGAUCCCUCCGACCACGGCAAAAGAAAAAAGUGGGCGUGCAUUCAUGAGAGAGAAAGAGGGAGUAAGGGAAAGAAGCGAUGGUGUAUAGCAAAAGAUGAGAGAUAGAGAAUUGAUGAAUAAAUUGAAAAUAAAGAAUUGAAAGUUCGAUGGAGAAAAAGAAAAAUGCUCAUAAUUAAUAAUUAGAGAAGAGAUGUUAGGAUUGUAGAUGGUAAUGGAACCAUUUAAAUAUACUAAAUGAAAGUUUGGUAGUGGAACCGUUUGCACUAAUUGAAAAUAUAGUGGAGGAAAGGAAAAUGGUCAUAAUGAAUUAUUGUAGAUAGAAACAAUACAAUUGUAAAUGGUAGUGCGACCAUUAAAUACACUAAUUGAUGGUUUGAUUAGUGGGAUCGUUAAAAUGUAUAUUGAAAAUUUGGUGAAGAGAAGAAAAAGAGUUACAUGCUAGUGAAAGUGAAGUAAAAUUUGCCACGUGGCAACAAACAUUN
Molecule: long non-coding RNA, 673 nt
Filed under: Ananas comosus (pineapple)
Lineage: Eukaryota; Viridiplantae; Streptophyta; Magnoliopsida; Poales; Bromeliaceae
Description: long non-coding RNA (ACOM_LNC011034)
Source: RNAcentral